RNAcentral lists this ribosomal RNA (492 nucleotides) under uncultured bacterium. RNAcentral's name for it is "partial 16S ribosomal RNA". It matches the Rfam family "Bacterial small subunit ribosomal RNA", at positions 29 to 507 of the family's 1533-position model. The record is from RNAcentral.
AGUGAACGCUGGCGGUAGGCCUAACACAUGCAAGUCGAACGGCAGCACAGUAAGAGCUUGCUCUUACGGGUGGCGAGUGGCGGACGGGUGAGGAAUACAUCGGAAUCUACUUUUUCGUGGGGGAUAACGUAGGGAAACUUACGCUAAUACCGCAUACGACCUACGGGUGAAAGCAGGGGAUCUUCGGACCUUGCGCGAUUGAAUGAGCCGAUGUCGGAUUAGCUAGUUGGCGGGGUAAGGGCCCACCAAGGUGACGAUCCGUAGCUGGUCUGAGAGGAUGAUCAGCCACACUGGAACUGAGACACGGUCCAGACUCCUACGGGAGGCAGCAGUGGGGAAUAUUGGACAAUGGGCGCAAGCCUGAUCCAGCCAUACCGCGUGGGUGAAGAAGGCCUUCGGGUUGUAAAGCCCUUUUGUUGGGAAAGAAAAGCAGCAGGUUAAUACCCCGCUGUUCUGACGGUACCCAAAGAAUAAGCACCGGCUAACUUCGUG